AAUAAGUUUCAUCUUCCUCAAAAUGGUGCCCAGGGCUGGUUCCAUCCUCCUGACACUCACUAGUAGGAGAGCUGAAAACCGCGGACAGGGAUGCUCAUGGCCUCAGAACCCUUUGACUUUGUCCAGUGGAGGGGAUGGGACAAGCCCGUGACCAUUCCUUACUCUGGCAGCCUCCGACAGCCUGACACUCCUAUUAGCCCAGGGGAGUAAACAGACCCACAGCUGUCUAUAAAAAGCCGGAAACAGUUCUGUUUCCAUUCAAGGUGGAUGACUGGGGGGUGCGUGGGAGGGGGCGAGGACCGCUACAUCUGGGCGAGGGCGGAGAUGAUCUGCUGCCUCUGACGCUUCUGUUGUUAUCCCGAAGAAGGGCUUUCUUCAUCCUAGAGACUCGGGUUCUUUGUUUCCUGUGGCAGAGUGAUCGUUUAGUCCAGGAUGUAAAGACUGAACUGAAUCCAGAAGUACGUGUUGGA
Molecule: long non-coding RNA, 470 nt
Filed under: Monodelphis domestica (gray short-tailed opossum)
Lineage: Eukaryota; Metazoa; Chordata; Mammalia; Didelphimorphia; Didelphidae
Description: lncRNA (ENSMODG00000034069.2)
Source: RNAcentral